This 60-nucleotide transfer RNA is filed under the name Tullbergia mixta. RNAcentral's name for it is "tRNA-Gly". The record is from RNAcentral. Lineage: Eukaryota; Metazoa; Arthropoda; Collembola; Poduromorpha; Tullbergiidae.
AAACUUAUAGUAUACCAGUACGGAUGGCUUCCAACUAUCAAGGCCUCACGGGAAAGUUUA